GAUGAACGCUGGCGGCGUGCCUAAUACAUGCAAGUCGAGCGAACAGACGAGGAGCUUGCUCCUCUGACGUUAGCGGCGGACGGGUGAGUAACACGUGGAUAACCUACCUAUAAGACUGGGAUAACUUCGGGAAACCGGAGCUAAUACCGGAUAAUAUAUUGAACCGCAUGGUUCAAUAGUGAAGGACGGUUUUGCUGUCACUUAUAGAUGGAUCCGCGCCGCAUUAGCUAGUUGGUAAGGUAACGGCUUACCAAGGCAACGAUGCGUAGCCGACCUGAGAGGGUGAUCGGCCACAAUGGAACUGAGACACGGUCCAGACUCCUACGGGAGGCAGCAGUAGGGAAUCUUCCGCAAUGGGCGAAAGCCUGACGGAGCAACGCCGCGUGAGUGAUGAAGGUCUUCGGAUCGUAAAACUCUGUUAUUAGGGAAGAACAAAUGUGUAAGUAACUAUGCACGUCUUGACGGUACCUAAUCAGAAAGCCACGGCUAACUACGUG
This 497-nucleotide ribosomal RNA is filed under the name uncultured bacterium. RNAcentral's name for it is "partial 16S ribosomal RNA". It matches the Rfam family "Bacterial small subunit ribosomal RNA", at positions 28 to 507 of the family's 1533-position model. The record is from RNAcentral.